RNAcentral lists this ribosomal RNA (1023 nucleotides) under Kurthia gibsonii. Its description in RNAcentral is "bacterial SSU rRNA". It matches the Rfam family "Bacterial small subunit ribosomal RNA", at positions 173 to 1189 of the family's 1533-position model. Lineage: Bacteria; Bacillati; Bacillota; Bacilli; Caryophanales; Caryophanaceae. The record is from RNAcentral.
AUCCUUCGAAUCACAUGUCUUGCAGUUGAAAGGCGCUUCGGCGUCACUGUAGGAUGGGCCCGCGGUGCAUUAGCUAGUUGGUGGGGUAACGGCCUACCAAGGCAACGAUGCAUAGCCGACCUGAGAGGGUGAUCGGCCACAUUGGGACUGAGACACGGCCCAAACUCCUACGGGAGGCAGCAGUAGGGAAUCUUCCACAAUGGACGAAAGUCUGAUGGAGCAACGCCGCGUGAGUGAUGAAGGUUUUCGGAUCGUAAAACUCUGUUGUAAGGGAAGAACAAGUACGUUAGGAAAUGAACGUACCUUGACGGUACCUUAUUAGAAAGCCACGGCUAACUACGUGCCAGCAGCCGCGGUAAUACGUAGGUGGCAAGCGUUGUCCGGAUUUAUUGGGCGUAAAGCGCGCGCAGGUGGUUUCUUAAGUCUGAUGUGAAAGCCCACGGCUCAACCGUGGAGGGUCAUUGGAAACUGGGGAACUUGAGUGCAGAAGAGGAUAGUGGAAUUCCAAGUGUAGCGGUGAAAUGCGUAGAGAUUUGGAGGAACACCAGUGGCGAAGGCGACUGUCUGGUCUGUAACUGACACUGAGGCGCGAAAGCGUGGGGAGCAAACAGGAUUAGAUACCCUGGUAGUCCACGCCGUAAACGAUGAGUGCUAAGUGUUAGGGGGUUUCCGCCCCUUAGUGCUGCAGCUAACGCAUUAAGCACUCCGCCUGGGGAGUACGACCGCAAGGUUGAAACUCAAAGGAAUUGACGGGGGCCCGCACAAGCGGUGGAGCAUGUGGUUUAAUUCGAAGCAACGCGAAGAACCUUACCAGGUCUUGACAUCCCAAUGACCGUCCUAGAGAUAGGAUUUUCCCUUCGGGGACAUUGGUGACAGGUGGUGCAUGGUUGUCGUCAGCUCGUGUCGUGAGAUGUUGGGUUAAGUCCCGCAACGAGCGCAACCCUUAUUCUUAGUUGCCAUCAUUUAGUUGGGCACUCUAAGGAUACUGCCGGUGACAAACCGGAGGAAAGCGGACAUGACAUA